ACUGUGGCUCAGCUGGUAGAGCAGCUGAUUCGUAAUCAGCAGGUCGCCGGUUCAAGUCCGGCCAGU
This 66-nucleotide transfer RNA is filed under the name human gut metagenome. It matches the Rfam family "tRNA". Rfam says of the family: Transfer RNA (tRNA) molecules are approximately 80 nucleotides in length. Their secondary structure includes four short double-helical elements and three loops (D, anti-codon, and T loops). The record is from RNAcentral.